GACGAACGCUGGCGGCGUGCUUAACACAUGCAAGUCGAACGGUGAAGCGCCUUCCUUUUUGGUGGGUGUGGAUGAGUGGCGAACGGGUGAGUAACACGUGAGUAACCUGCCCCCUUCUUCUGGAUAACCGCAUGAAAGUGUGGCUAAUACGGGAUAUUCUGGGUCUGUCGCAUGAUGGGUCUGGGAAAGAUAUUGUUUCGGUGGGGGAUGGGCUCGCGGCCUAUCAGCUUGUUGGUGGGGUGAUGGCCUACCAAGGCGGUGACGGGUAGCCGGCCUGGGAGGGUGGACGGUCACACUGGGACUGAGACACGGCCCAGACUCCGACGGGAGGCAGCAGUGGGGAAUAUUGCACAGUGGGCGCAAGCCUGAUGCAGCGACGCCGCGUGAGGGAUGGAGGCCUGCGGGUUGUGAGCCUCUUUCGCCAGUGAAGCAGGCCUGCCUCGUUUGUGGGUGGGUUGACGGUAGCUGGAGAAGAAGCGCCGGCUAACUACGUG
Molecule: ribosomal RNA, 494 nt
Filed under: uncultured bacterium
Lineage: Bacteria
Description: partial 16S ribosomal RNA
Rfam family: Bacterial small subunit ribosomal RNA
Source: RNAcentral